Molecule: ribosomal RNA, 301 nt
Filed under: uncultured bacterium
Lineage: Bacteria
Description: partial 16S ribosomal RNA
Rfam family: Bacterial small subunit ribosomal RNA
Source: RNAcentral
CAGCCGCCGCGGUAAUACGAAGGGGGCUAGCGUUGUUCGGAUUUACCGGGCGUAAAGCGCACGUAGGCGGACUUUUAAGUCAGGGGUGAAAUCCCGGGGCUCAACCCCGGAACUGCCUUUGAUACUGGAAGUCUUGAGUAUGGUAGAGGUGAGUGGAAUUCCGAGUGUAGAGGUGAAAUUCGUAGAUAUUCGGAGGAACACCAGUGGCGAAGGCGGCUCACUAAACCAUUACUGACGCUGAGGUGCGAAAGCGUGGGGAGCAAACAGGAUUAGAUACCCCCGUAGUCCCUGUCUCUUAUAC